AUGCCUGUUCGAGCGUCAUUUCAACCCUCAAGCCCCCGGGUUUGGUGUUGGGGAUCGGCGAGCCCUUGCGGCAAGCCGGCCCCGAAAUCUAGUGGCGGUCUCGCUGCAGCUUCCAUUGCGUAG
This 123-nucleotide ribosomal RNA is filed under the name Fusarium subglutinans. RNAcentral describes it as "5.8S ribosomal RNA". The record is from RNAcentral. Lineage: Eukaryota; Fungi; Ascomycota; Sordariomycetes; Hypocreales; Nectriaceae.